Molecule: ribosomal RNA, 744 nt
Filed under: uncultured bacterium
Lineage: Bacteria
Description: bacterial SSU rRNA
Rfam family: Bacterial small subunit ribosomal RNA
Source: RNAcentral
AGAGUUUGAUCCUGGCUCAGAACGAACGCUGGCGGCAUGCCUAACACAUGCAAGUCGAACGCCUCUAGCAAUAGAGGAGUGGCGCACGGGUGAGUAACGCGUGGGAACCUGCCCUGGAGUGUGGGAUAACCCGGCGAAAGCCGGGCUAAUACCGCAUACGACCUGAGGGUGAAAGAUUUAUCGCUCUAGGAGGGGCCCGCGUCGGAUUAGCUAGUUGGUGAGGUAACGGCUCACCAAGGCGAUGAUCCGUAGCUGGUCUGAGAGGAUGAUCAGCCACACUGGGACUGAGACACGGCCCAGACUCCUACGGGAGGCAGCAGUGGGGAAUAUUGGACAAUGGGGGCAACCCUGAUCCAGCAAUGCCGCGUGGGCGAUGAAGGCCUUCGGGUUGUAAAGCCCUUUUGCACGCGACGAUGAUGACGGUAGCGUGAGAAGAAGCCCCGGCUAACUUCGUGCCAGCAGCCGCGGUAAUACGAAGGGGGCGAGCGUUGUUCGGAAUUACUGGGCGUAAAGGGCGCGCAGGCGGCCUUAGAAGUCAGAUGUGAAAGCCCCGGGCUCAACCUGGGAAUGGCAUUUGAUACUCUGAGGCUGGAGUACGGGAGAGGAGAGUGGAAUUCCCAGUGUAGAGGUGAAAUUCGUAGAUAUUGGGAAGAACACCGGUGGCGAAGGCGGCUCUCUGGACCGUAACUGACGCUGAGGCGCGAAAGCGUGGGGAGCAAACAGGAUUAGAUACCCCCGUAGUCC